GUCGAGCGGACAGAAGGGAGCUUGCUCCCGGAUGUUAGCGGCGGACGGGUGAGUAACACGUGGGUAACCUGCCUGUAAGACUGGGAUAACUCCGGGAAACCGGAGCUAAUACCGGAUAGUUCCUUGAACCGCAUGGUUCAAGGAUGAAAGACGGUUUCGGCUGUCACUUACAGAUGGACCCGCGGCGCAUUAGCUAGUUGGUGGGGUAAUGGCUCACCAAGGCGACGAUGCGUAGCCGACCUGAGAGGGUGAUCGGCCACACUGGGACUGAGACACGGCCCAGACUCCUACGGGAGGCAGCAGUAGGGAAUCUUCCGCAAUGGACGAAAGUCUGACGGAGCAACGCCGCGUGAGUGAUGAAGGUUUUCGGAUCGUAAAGCUCUGUUGUUAGGGAAGAACAAGUGCGAGAGUAACUGCUCGCACCUUGACGGUACCUAACCAGAAAGCCACGGCUAACUACGUGCCAGCAGCCGCGGUAAUACGUAGGUGGCAAGCGUUGUCCGGAAUUAUUGGGCGUAAAGGGCUCGCAGGCGGUUUCUUAAGUCUGAUGUGAAAGCCCCCGGCUCAACCGGGGAGGGUCAUUGGAAACUGGGAAACUUGAGUGCAGAAGAGGAGAGUGGAAUUCCACGUGUAGCGGUGAAAUGCGUAGAGAUGUGGAGGAACACCAGUGGCGAAGGCGACUCUCUGGUCUGUAACUGACGCUGAGGAGCGAAAGCGUGGGGAGCGAACAGGAUUAGAUACCCUGGUAGUCCACGCCGUAAACGAUGAGUGCUAAGUGUUAGGGGGUUUCCGCCC
This 795-nucleotide ribosomal RNA is filed under the name Bacillus pumilus. RNAcentral describes it as "bacterial SSU rRNA". It matches the Rfam family "Bacterial small subunit ribosomal RNA", at positions 61 to 838 of the family's 1533-position model. Lineage: Bacteria; Bacillati; Bacillota; Bacilli; Caryophanales; Bacillaceae. The record is from RNAcentral.